GGAUUCCCCUAGUAACUGCGAGUGAAGCGGGAAAAGCUCAAAUUUAAAAUCUGGCGGUCUUUGGCCGUCCGAGUUGUAGUCUGGAGAAGUGCUUUCCGCGCUGGACCGUGUAUAAGUCUCUUGGAACAGAGCGUCAUAGAGGGUGAGAAUCCCGUCUUUGACACGGACUACCAGUGCUUUGUGAUGCGCUCUCAAAGAGUCGAGUUGUUUGGGAAUGCAGCUCAAAAUGGGUGGUGAAUUCCAUCUAAAGCUAAAUAUUGGCGAGAGACCGAUAGCGAACAAGUACCGUGAGGGAAAGAUGAAAAGCACUUUGGAAAGAGAGUUAAACAGUACGUGAAAUUGCUGAAAGGGAAACGCUUGAAGUCAGUCGCGUUUGCCGGAACUCAGCCUUCCUUUUGGUUGGUGCACUUUCCGGUAGACGGGCCAGCAUCGAUUUCGACCGUCGGAUAAGGGCUGGGGAAAUGUGGCACCUUUCGGGGUGUGUUAUAGUCCUCAGUCGCAUACGUCGGUUGGGAUCGAGGAUCGCAGCGCGCCGCAAGGCAGGGGUUCCCCCACUUUCGCGCUUAGGAUGCUGGCAUAAUGGCUUUAAACGACCCGUCUUGAAACACGGACCAAGGAGUCUAACAAACCUGCGAGUGUUUGGGUGGAAAACCCGAGCGCGUAAUGAAAGUGAAAG
RNAcentral lists this ribosomal RNA (676 nucleotides) under Lentinus brumalis. RNAcentral describes it as "partial 28S rRNA gene". It matches the Rfam family "Eukaryotic large subunit ribosomal RNA", at positions 72 to 731 of the family's 3401-position model. Lineage: Eukaryota; Fungi; Basidiomycota; Agaricomycetes; Polyporales; Polyporaceae. The record is from RNAcentral.